RNAcentral lists this ribosomal RNA (579 nucleotides) under uncultured Delftia sp. RNAcentral's name for it is "bacterial SSU rRNA". It matches the Rfam family "Bacterial small subunit ribosomal RNA", at positions 346 to 918 of the family's 1533-position model. Lineage: Bacteria; Pseudomonadati; Pseudomonadota; Betaproteobacteria; Burkholderiales; Comamonadaceae. The record is from RNAcentral.
AGGCAGCAGUGGGGAAUUUUGGACAAUGGGCGAAAGCCUGAUCCAGCAAUGCCGCGUGCAGGAUGAAGGCCUUCGGGUUGUAAACUGCUUUUGUACGGAACGAAAAAGCUCCUUCUAAUACAGGGGGCCCAUGACGGUACCGUAAGAAUAAGCACCGGCUAACUACGUGCCAGCAGCCGCGGUAAUACGUAGGGUGCGAGCGUUAAUCGGAAUUACUGGGCGUAAAGCGUGCGCAGGCGGUUAUGUAAGACAGAUGUGAAAUCCCCGGGCUCAACCUGGGAACUGCAUUUGUGACUGCAUGGCUAGAGUACGGUAGAGGGGGAUGGAAUUCCGCGUGUAGCAGUGAAAUGCGUAGAUAUGCGGAGGAACACCGAUGGCGAAGGCAAUCCCCUGGACCUGUACUGACGCUCAUGCACGAAAGCGUGGGGAGCAAACAGGAUUAGAUACCCUGGUAGUCCACGCCCUAAACGAUGUCAACUGGUUGUUGGGAAUUAGUUUUCUCAGUAACGAAGCUAACGCGUGAAGUUGACCGCCUGGGGAGUACGGCCGCAAGGUUGAAACUCAAAUGAAUUGACGGGG